This 13658-nucleotide long non-coding RNA is filed under the name Homo sapiens (human). RNAcentral describes it as "HSALNT0314946". Lineage: Eukaryota; Metazoa; Chordata; Mammalia; Primates; Hominidae. The record is from RNAcentral.
GAAGGAGGGGUGUGGCCUAGACCACUAAGGGCCGUGACGUGGUGCCGCUGAGCUUGGACCCCGACCAGAAGAUAGAGAUUGAAACGAUGAGGAAAACGAAGUGCCUAAUCCCCGCUGGACGCUAACUGCAGGGCAAGCUCCCCAGUGUUGUAGUUGUGUUUCGGAGGCCGAGAACCGCUAUCGGGCUUCCUCGGACUCUGGCCCUGGAGGGGGGAAACGGCGAGGGAGAAGGCGAAACGAGUCUCCAGUGUGUUCUUGGGGCCUGGUGCGAGGCCCAGAGAAUUCUCUGCAGGCCUUUGCCCGGGCACUGAUUAAGGCUGCGAAGAGACGCACCGGGCUGCGGGCUUAGUAGCUUCAGGCUUCUGAAGUCAGAGGGAGGGCUGAGAGCUUACACUUCUGGAGCUCCCCGGGAGACGGCAACUACCCAACCGUGUGGGUGUGUUUGUCACCCAGAAAUACUCUCCACACCAUGCUGCACUGCUGCGGAUGAGGGAAGGAUGGUGUCGGGGCUUCAAGACUGUUUUUCCUACCUCUUCAGUGCCUCUUUCAGUGAUAUGAAGUUAAAACCAGGAACAUGGAGGAGACAUAUUUCCACCUAUUUCUCUCCAUAAGUAUAAAAGACCAUAAAAGACCAUCUAGGGACUUCAGAACCCAAAUAAUGACACAAUGUGUUCUAACAGAAGUCUGUCUGUGGUUGCUUUGGACCAAGGCAGAGUGCUCUAAAGGUGGCUGUGCUGUACCCAGUACUGUGUCUUCUGAUAGAAGGUUCUGAAGCAACACUGUAACUGCUGAAUGCUUCUGGCUGCUUCUUUCCACAGUAAAAGAUGAAAAGAAAUAUCUUUUAUUGAGAUAGACUGAGGUCCAGGAAAAACAAGUGCAACUUCAUGGUCCUUUUCUUCAUAUUCUGGAAUACAAGAAAACGUGUAAAUGUUUGCAAAUUCAGGUGCUAAGAGUUUUGCAUGUAUAGCAGUACUUUUACCAUCUGUUUCAUUUGGAUGUUUAAUGAUGUCAAUCUUCAAUGGAAGUUUCACAAGUGGAAUCUGUUCAAUAGGUACAUUUUCAACUGGAAUGUAACAUGUAGAGCAGUAGAACAUUCUGGAACCACCACAUUUGAGACAUUUUGAUCUCCCACUUUGCUGAGCUUUUUGAAGAACUUCUUGAGAUGCUAAACAUAAGUUUUGAAGGGGAUCUUCUGAAGCUAUGGAAGUAGUUUGUGACUGUUUUGUUUCCACAAAGUUUGAAUUAUUUUCUUCACUUCAUUUGAGAAAUAUAGGUGGAUUGAGAGACAUUCUUCAUUCAAACAAAAGUUUAACAGCUAUUUCUAAAACACAUAUCAUCUGAAGCUAUGGAAGUAGUUUGUGACUGUUUUGUUUCCACAAAGUUUGAAUUAUUUUCUUCACUUCAUUUGAGAAAUAUAGGUGGAUUGAGAGACAUUCUUCAUUCAAACAAAAGUUUAACAGCUAUUUCUAAAACACAUAUCAUAUGUGCACUGCGAGUCCUCGAACAGCUCCACGCGUCUCCAGCUCUGCCCAAGCCCGAGCCACGCGACGGGCUGUGAUCGCGCACGGACCAGACGAGAGCUCUUCAACUGUGUGAUCCAAAUGAAUUUGAGAACACCUAUUUACUGCUCCGCCCUGUGUCCUGCUGGCCAGAAGUGCCCAUCAAUUUCAAAGGCCUCUGUGUGACUGGAUUGAGGAAGCCAAGAGCAGGGAGAAGAAUAGAUCCAGGUCUUCCCAUUACUCCAAAAUGGAGCCUAGCCCUCUGGCAGCACAGUCGGCCAGCUGGGACCACGGUGGCCAUUACUGGAAGUGUGAUCAUCUGCCCUCUCUCCUCAGUGCCCUUGGAAUAUGUGCUCUUCUGUCUGGCUUCAAUUUCUCUUACUUCUUUGUGUGUGAAGAGUCUUCCUUUCAAUCAGCAAACUCUUCCUGCACACUAUAAAGCCCACUUUGGUCUUCAGAAUCUUUCAGUGCCUGAGCUUGUCAGUAUGAGGUUUCUCUUUCUUUAUUUCCAAAUGUCCUGCUUUCUUUGUGUGCAACUUCUUAAGAAUUUGGCAAAGUAAACAACAAAGCAGCAAUAUUUCAUAGGGUUUAAACUUCCCUUUGGUCCUGGAUAGAAAGGAUUUUUUUUUUUUUUUUGAGACGGAGUUUUGCUCUUGUAGCACUGGCUAGAGUGCAAUGGCGCAAUCUUGGCUCACUGCAACCUCUGCCUCCUGGGUUCAAGGGAUUCUCCUGCCUCAGCCUUCCGAGUAGCUGGGAUUACAGGCACCCACCACCACGCUGGCUAUUUUUUUUGUAUUUCUCAGGAGAGACAGCAUUUCACCAUGUUGGUCAGGCUGGUCUCGAACUCCUGACCUCAGGUGAUCCACCCACCUUGGCUUCCCAAAGUGCUGGGAUUAUAGGCCUGCCACCUGGAUCUAUUCUUCUCCCUGCUCCUGGCUUUUUCAAUCCAGUCACAAAGAGGCCUUUGAAAUUGAUGCCUGCCACCACACCUGGCAGAAAGGAUGUUUUUGUUUCUUCUUUUUCCUGUUCCUUUCUCUGCAAUCAUCUCUCUGAGUCUCAGACAUGUGGCACUGGUUGGCUGGCAGCACCUUCUGUGUGUCUGAGCCCUUACAUAGCUUCCAGAGGAAGGGGUGCUCCGUUGGGGUCCUGCCUGCUUUUGGAGCAUUAGAAUCUCCUUUUUUGCAAGCCUCUGUCUCCCAUCAUUUAACACCCAGCUGUGUCUCUCUGCCCACUGACCAGAAUCUUUUCGCAGUAGGUGGGUUUUAAAAAGCACUCACCAGAACUCCCAAAUGCUAGGGUCUCAUGGCCCCUCAAAAACUCAUUACCUUCUCUUUGGGAUCCUCAGACCUGGCAGGAACCUCACAUAGGAAGAAAGGCAGCCAGGGAGCAGGCAGUGAGGACAGGUUGUAAUCAGGCAGUUCUGGCUGGGCAUAAAGUCUGCUCCUGCUGAAGGCAAGCUGCUCAACACUGCACUGGACAUCCUCCAUGUGUGGAAUCUAGGCAAAGCAGCUCUGUCCUCUAUUAACAAAUAACUGAGCCUGGGCAAUCUGUUACUUCAACUGUCCUUUCAAGCCAGGCUUUGCAGUAACAGGAAUUUGAGGUCCAGCAUGCAGAGACAGACCUAAGUGUGAGCCUCUGCUACUUAUGAGCUGUGUGACCUGGGGCAAAUUACUUAACCUCUCUAUACCCUAUUCCCUUCACUUGUGCAAUAAGAAUAAAUAAUACCACACACUUCGGAGGCAUGGCGUAAGACUCAAAUGACUAAUAUAGGGAUAGUUCAGGGGCAGAUACACGGUUGGAAAGCACACUAGAAAUAUCAGUAGAAUCUGAAUUUUCCCCUACCUGCCUCCUUGUUUUCACUACAAAUAACAUUUCCUUUCCUGCUUUUAAGUCAAGAGGGGAACACACUGAUUCUUUAGCAGACAGUUUAGCACACACUUCAAGCCAGAGAGUGUACCAGCAAUGUGGAUUCAGAAAUAAAUAUGAUGGGAGCCCUGCUCUCACAGGAUGGGGUUGGGGGUGGGGGAUAAAGUCCCAAGGGAGUUGGACAGUCUCCAGAUGGGUAGUCACUGCUGGGCAGAAACACAUGAGGGAAGUGUCAGGAGCCCGAAAGAAGCUCUGAACAGGUUGGAACACGUUUUCUGGAGGAUGGGACAUUGAAACUGAAUCACCUACAAUGUUGAAGGCAGAUGGUAACCUAAGAAAGGUAAAGCCUUGUUAAUCAAAUCAAUUCUUUUCACUUUAACUGUAUUGGAAAGAUACUUUAAAAAAUCUUCAUAACAACUGAAGCUCGAUGAUGCCUUGAUUCUGCAUUAACAUCCUUGCCCAUUUCUUGAUACAUUUUCAAUUUACCUUCAUGGUAAUUUACACUCAAGGAAGCUGUCCAAGAUAUGCGGGGGAUUCAAUAAAAUAGGUCAUGGAGUUAAAUGCUGUGGUGAAACACAGGGCUUAAUUUUAUGGAUAAAAUUUAAACUGCUUAGCUGCCUUUUUUGCAUUAUUCAUGUUAAGACUAAUGAUUACUCACUAAAUGGGAAGGAAUCACUGUAGAAAUCAGGAAGCCAUUUUCUUAAUUCUUUAAGCACAUCUGAUGGAGCUGUGGACUCUGCCCUUGAGGUUAACAGCAUUGUAUUAGGGAAGAGACCUGCUUGGCCCACCAGUCAACCUCCCUUGCCUGGGCUGCUCCUGAAACUGCUACAGGAACAGGAAACUUGAAACAAGAUUUUUUCCUAAAAUUGACAUUGGGUAGAAUGAACAGGAUAGAAGACAAUAUAUUAAUGUCAGUUCCUUCUGGUAUUUUUCAAAGUGAAGUCUGCAUUGAUGUCAUUGACAAAAAUGCAAAUUCCAGAUUGUAACCAAAUCUGCUUACUGGCAGUGAGGUUUAGGCACUUUAAUUAUUCACAAGCAUCCCAGGCAAUUCUUAUGUGCUAGUGGAGAACCACAGAUUGGCAUUGGCUAUAGAGAGACCACUUCCUUUCAGUCAUCCAAGGUUAUUUUAUUAACUUAGCACUGGGCUCCAACGUAAACAAGGGCUACUUUUCUAUAAUGAUCAAAUUACUAAUUUUAUAAGUAUAGAAUAAAAGGAUAUGGGUUUCUUAGAUUGUAAAUGUUUGAUGUAGUUAAUGCAAUUUCAUUUUUGAGGUUUGUUUCUAAUAAUACUCUUAAUUUACAUGUCUAAUGGAUUCCUUGUACACAAUUCUGAUCAUGUAAAUUUAAGAUGAUCUUUUCCACUUUGCAAUACAAGACAUUUAAAAUAACCUAAAGUUGCCCAUUCUCACUAAGCACCUGAAAAUUAGUCCCUGUGGGGAAACUUUUUUCAAGUUUUAUUUUUCUUUUUAUUUCAAGUGUUGUUUAUAUUGUUUCUCUAACUGUUCUACCUAAUGAUUGAUAGGCACCUACCUUCCCCAAAGAAAAAGGGUUAAGUGAUCAAAUAUGUUUGGGAAACACGAGGGCAAACAAAGUGAAACAGACUUUUACUGCAGAUUGCGGAUCCUUUGAGAGCCCUUAAUGUGCACAGUAAUUCUCCAAGAAGGGGACAGAAGUCCCUGGGCUUCCCAUGCUUGUUUAGUUUUUAUGGAUCCCUCUGCUGGAUGAGUGUUCACAGGACCACACUUUGUGAAAUACUCAGUCAGCUCUAUCAGCAAAUUAUAUCACGGGAAUUGGUUACUUUCAUUUGGAUGCUUUGCCCAUGUUACCCAGACUUAGGAAAAUAUUUUACAAUUUGGGGUGUAUAUGAGAUAUUUGGGGGCAUUUUCUCCAAUAUCAACUUCCUGCUUCUGAAAUUCAGGUUAAAACACUGACCUAAAUUACGGAAAUCACAAUCUCCUUCACCAUCACCAACAGUGCCACCAUCAUCAAAUCAUGAUCAGCAUCGACCAACACGAUGAUUCCCACUACCACUAUCACAUUAAUAGCACCACUACCAUCCUACCGUGCCCAGCGAGACAACUGCCAUCACGGUCACUAUGACCAACACCAUAUUACCACCGCUGCCACUAAUAUGCCUCAUUGCUAUGCCAAUAAUCACUAACAGCAUUACCACCACACUCCAACUAACCAAUGCUGCUGCCAUCAUUACUGCCAUGAUCUGUACUACCACCACUGCCACUAGUGCAAACAUCACCACUACUGCUGUUAAAGCAGCCACCACCACUGCACCCACUGUCGCCACUGUCCUUUCCACAUCCAGAUGAAGAAAGAAGAAGAGAUAGAAAGCAUAGUUUCAUUAUUCUAGGUCAUAUUCAAAGGUUGGUCACUAGAUAUAAUUGCACAUAUGUUCCCCUAGUUACUAUGGCAUCCCAAUAGCCAUCAAGUGGAACCAGACAUGGUAUCAUAGCAGAAUCCUGAGGUCUAAGGUCUAGUUUAAAUAAGACUUCUGAUCCAAGGUAGGGGUCCCUCAAUUACCUCUAUGACAGGAGGCAAAGAUGUCACACACGACUGCAUGUCAGCUAAACUCAUUGGAAGAUUCAUUUCUGCCUUCAUAAAUGUAGACACUGGGCUUCAGCUAGUUGUAAGGGAGCAGCCCCUGGUGCAAGCCACGUAGCAACUAGAGGGGCUUUAAAAUCAGCACAAAAUUAAGUUUUAUUGCUGCUUUGAGGAAUGUUCAGGUUGGUGGGAGGGGAUUACAGCAGACAAGUGUUUAAUUUACUCAACUAUAUGCUCAAGUUUAUGUAACUGAGCUAUUUUAAAAUUACAUUUUAUGUAUGCAUUGCUGUAUAUAUUGCACAUAUAUAAAUGUACAAUAAUAAUAAAGAGUGGCAUAUAUGAGUCUCAGGAAUUGUGCCAAAGGCUUUACAUAUACUCUCUUUAAUCCUUUUAACUCCUGUAUGAAAGGAGUGUGACUGUCAUUCUCAUUUUCCUAAUGAACAAACUGUGGCAUGAAGAGGUUAAAUAAUUAGCCUAAGCUUACAAAGCUAAUUAAUUGUAAGACUAAGAUCUAAACCCAGGUAGUCUGGUUCCAGGGCCCAUGAUCUUAACCAACACUCUACAUUUUAACACACUGUCUGCACAUUGUCUACACACAGAUGCAGUGUGUGUACAUCAGUUGUAUAAAUAUAUCAUCUUGCAUGAAGUAAUUUAAGGGAUGUUCAAGGAUAUUGUUGAUUAUAUGCAAUUUAUCUCAUGUGCUGAUUUUUAAGCCUAGUCCCAGAGGAAAUGCAAGUUCACUGAAAUCUAAGGGGGGAAAAAAGACACGAAAAACCAACAAGUGCAAAGCAGUGUGGUGCAGAAUGUGGUGGCAGAGCAACAACCACUCUCAGCAAAAUCCUCAUUAAUUCAUGCCAGUAAGUAUGCAAUGAGGAACUGCAGUAUGCAGGGCACUGGGUGGGGCGAUGCCAGCCCUCCUGAUCCUUAUCCCAUAACUUAUCAGGUGUGUUCAAGUUCUUAGUGCGUCUCAAGAAAAAAUAUCUCAGGUUCGAAUUGCUGCAAAGUUUUUCAAGCACAUCCACCGAUAGCAAGACCCACUGGAGGCAGAUCAGCGAUGAGUCUGAGGGCGGCACAAAGGGUGCUACCAGGUGAUCACCAGUCCUUCCUCCUCAUCCUUAUUCAUUCCUUAGACAUCUUGAUAUUAGAAAUUAUUGGUUUGUGAAUGCACCUAUUGUUAACUCUUUCAAUAUACAAAUACAUGCAAACAUAUGUAUAUUCUACAUAUAUGGACAGGCACAGAUUUUUUUUUAUGUUGGGCUCCCUCAAACAGAAUUAAUCUGUGAGGGUAUAAACCCACUUCACAAUGUCCACAGUGGGGCCAAAACCGCUUUUGAGGUGAUCAACUCUAUGCUGGGAGCAGGGGAGUUCUGGGCUGAACUCAAAGAUGCUUUUCAGCUCUAAAGUACCAUCAUCAUCUUCAUCCUCAUCUUCCUUUUCUCUUAAGUGCCCAGAAUGUGCCAGGCUCUGUGCUGUUUACAGGGUUUAUAUUCUCACAAAAAUCUCAAAAGCCAAUUGCCAGAAUUUCUCUAAAGUUUCUUAAUUGGUUUGGCACAAGCUGGAAAUGGUAGUGCUUGGAUUUGAAAGCAGGCCCAUUUGCCUGGCUUUGAAGUUUUUUUUUUAUGUUUUUGGUGCUUGUUUUUACCAUACUACGCAUCUCUUAAAUUCUUUGUCCCUAAAAUGGGGGAGGGGGCAAUAAUGCCAACCUCAUGGGAUUGUUUUGGCAAUUAAAUAACAAUGUAAAAUUCUUUUUGUAAAAUUUAAAGAGCCAUGCACAUAUAACAUUACUAUUAUUUUGGCUUCAUGUGAUUUUUUUUUUUUUCUGUAACAAAUUUACUUAAAUAUCUAGAUAAUGACUUCAAGAAAAUUGUCUUCCUUUGUAAUUCUACAUAUUUUAUUUUUAAAUAAUUUUAGACUUAUGAGUGUUUUAAAGAUAGUACAAAGAGUUCCCAUAUAUCCUUUAUUCAGCUUCUACUAAUGUUAAUAACUUAAAUAACCAUGGUACAGUGAUCUGAACCAGGAAACUAACAUUAAUUCAACACUGAUCUAGAGACAUCAUUUCUAUUUCCCUAUUGUUCCACAGUUCAAUCGAGGAUCUCACAUUGCACAUAGUUGUCCUGUAUCUACAGUCUCUGCUAAUCAAGGACAGCUCCUCAGUCUUCAGCACCUGGGCUUUUACAAAGAGCACUGGUCAGUUAUUUUGUAGAACAUCCCUCAGUUUGGUUGGUGUUUUCUCAUGAUUAGAUUAAGCUUAUUCACCUUAGGCAAGAAUACCUCAGAACUGAUGCUGUGCUCUUCUCAAUACAUCCUACAUCAGAGGGUACAUGAUGUUGAUUUGUCUUCAUUUUGGUCAUAUUAACUUUGAUACUUGGUUGAGUGGUAUAUUCUAGAUUUCUCCACAUAAGUUAGUAUUUCCCCCUGCGUAUCUGUAAAUAAUAUGUGUCCUGUAAGAAAACACUUUGAGAUUAUGUAAAUAUCCUGAUUCCCAUCAUAUUUCACCUACUAAUUUUAGCAUCAUUGAUGAUUCUGCUCUGUAACAAUUAUUACUGUUAAAUUAGUUUGUAAAAUAGUUAUUUUCUAUUUCUGACAUUCUUUCUACAAUAUUAAUUAGUAUUCUACCGUAAGGAAGGAUUGACCUUUCUCCUGCAUUUCUGUAUUCAUCUAAUCAUUUAUUUUUGUCAAUAUGGAUUCAUGGGUACUUAUUUUAUUCUGUGGGGUGUAAUCCCUUCUCAUUAUGUAUUUUGUUCCUCAAAUUAUCCCAGAUUUGCCCAAUGAAAGCUCCUUUAAGUUGGCUCCUGUGGCUUUUUUACAUUCUCCCAUCAUUUAAGCAUUUCCUUGCUUUCAGAACUGCAAGAUGUUCAGGCUUAUCUUGUAAGCUCCCUGCCCCAGCCCUGGAAUCAACCAUUUCUCCAAGGAGCCCUGGUUUCUUUUAUUGAAGAAUGGCAUUUAGAAACCAAGGGGACUAGCUGUACUCAUUGCUACUGGGGUUUCAUGGUUUCUAGGCCCUCUUAGAAGGCAAAGCUAGAAAAUUUUAUAUAAAUAUAUAAUUAUAUUAAUUAUAUCUGCAACUAUCUAUAUCUAUCCUCAAAUGUGUACACACACCACUCUGUACUUAUUUCUAAAACUAUCCAUCUGUAUACAUAUUGAAAACUGUUCAUACUGAAACCUCCAAUUCCAAUACAACACCAAAGAGUUUAUUUUAGCCUCCACUCCUUUAUUCAUAAUUCCUUUCUUCAACUUAAGAAACCUGGCUCCAUUAUCUACAAUCAUUUACUCAAUCUUAGUACUUACAUAAAAUAGUUUCAAAAUUGCUCAUCCACACCCCUGUGGAAAACAAAUUACUAACUAGUGAACAGGACUUGUGUACACCUUUUCUUGUCCUUAGCCUUGCAGUAUCCAAUCACAAUGCUGCUUUCCAUAUUACUGAGGUUAUUUUCUUUCCUACUGCCCUCAGUGUGGCUAUGUAUUCAUUUGUAAUAGAGCCAGGCUCAUUUGUUACUAUUUGCAUUUCAUCUUGGGUUCCCCUUGCCUCCUGAUUGGCUUUCAUUGUAUAUUUAGUUUUCUGGCAUGUGAUCCCAUUGUUCCAAUAGUCAGAGCUAUAUAAAGAGGAACACUCAGAGAAGGGUCUCUCUGCCCUCAUCCUAUCUUCUACCCCUUUGCCAUUUCCCCAUUCUUUCUAUUCUGUUCCCAUCUACCCGUUGUAAGCCACCAAUUUCAUUAGUUUAUAAAAUCUAUUCUUAAAUGAUUUUGUCCUUUUAAGAUUUAUUUUCCCUAUAAUUAUCAGUAACUCAUAAAUUUCCCCAAGGCCUAACUCCGUCUUGACAACCCCAUCUUUAGGAAUAUUUAUACAGACACAUCUAUUCAAUUCACUUUAAUUAAUGUCUUUGUGCUGCUGGGAAUUUUACCUCACUCUGUUUUAUCUGAGGCAUCCUGGGUUUUCUGAAUGCUCUUUGCAUGGUUUCUCUUUAUGGUCUGUUUAGCAAAGAAGCCAACUGCUGGUUCUCCACUCUGAAUGAUCAUCGCUUCCCAUUUGGAAGACAAAGAUGGUUACUGGCCUUGGCAUAUUAACCCUGGAGCUGCCUCCUCAGGAAGUGAAGAGUUGGGCUUGGCUGGCUGGUAUAGCAGCAGCGACAGCAGCAGAGACAGCAUGGCCUGCUCAGAAGGGGCGCCCUAGUUGCCAAGGAUGAGGGCACUGGCUUUGCACUCUUUGAGACUGGGGCUUUACCUAACAAACACUUGCAAAACUUAUUACCCCUCCAGUCCUCAAGUUUCCUUGUACCUAUAGAAUAGGAAUGUUAAAACUUACUUCACACAACUGUUUUGAGGAUGAAUUGGCUAUUUGAAAACUUGGGCACUGGAAGAAGUCCAGUGAAGGACAGUGUCACUUCCGCUGUUCACCCUUUCAUGCUUAAUUAACAUUUAAUUAAUCAAAUAUGUUGUUUCUUUUUGUAUUUUUUUAACUGAGAUAAAUGUAGAUUUACAUAUAGUUGUAGAAAUAAUACAGAAUUAUCCCGUGUACCCCUUACCUAGUUACCCCCAAUGGUAACAUCUUGCAAUAUUAUACCACAAUGUCACAACCAGGAUAUUCAGAUAGAUGUCAUCCACUGAUCUUACUCAAAAUUCACUCAUUUUCCAUACAGUCCUUUGAUUGUGUGGUAGUUCUGUGAAAUUUCAUCCCAUCUGUAGUUUUCAUGUAAUCAUCGCCACAGUCAAGGCACAGAAUGCUUCACUUCCAUCACUAUAAGGAACCCUUGUGUUGCCCUUUUAUAACCACACCCACUUCUCUCCUGUCUCCCAAACUCCAUCUCUAAUCCCUGUUAACCACUGAUAUGUUCCUUACUUACACAAUUUUAUCAUUUCAAGAAAGUUACAGAUAUUGAAUCACAUAGUAUGUAACCUUUUAGGAUUGGUGUUUUUCACUCAGCAUUAUUCCCUGGAGAUCAUCCAAGUUGUUGCACGAAUGAUUUGUUUCUUUUAUUGCUGGGGAGUAGUCUAUGGUAUGGAUGUAUCACAGUUUAAUUAUUCGCCCCUUGAAGGACAUUUGGGUGGUUUCUAGUUUCUGGCUAUUGUAAAUGAAACUGUGAUGAACGUUUGUGUACAGGUUUCUGUGUGAACACAAGUUUUCAUUUCUCUGGGAUAAAUGCCUGUGAGUGCAACUGCUGGGUCAUAUGGCAAUUGCAUGUUUAGUUUUACAAGAAACUGCCAAACUGCUUUCCAGAGUGGCUGUGCCAUUUUAAAUUCCCUCCAGCAAUUAUAAGAGGUGCAGUUUCUCGGCAUUCCUUCCAAAAUUUGAUGGUGUUGCCAUUUUUUAUCUUAGCCAUUUUGGCAGGUGUGUAGUAAUAUCUUAUUGUGGGUUUUACGUUGCAUUUCCCUAAUUGUUAAUGUUGUUAAAUAUUUUCUCAUGUGCUUAUCCGCUAUCUGUGUAUCCUCUUCGUGAAAUGGUUCUUCAUGUAUUUUGUUCAUUUCCUGAUUGUGUUUUGUUAAAUUUUUAAAGUUCUUUAGAUAUUCUAAACACUAGUCCCUUGUCGGAUAUGUGGUUUGCAACUUACUUGUUUUUUUUUUAAGAGACAAAAUCUUGCUAUGUUGCCCAGGCUGAAGUGCAGUGGCUAUUCACAAGUGCUAUCCCACUAUUAAUCAGCCCAGGAGUUUUCACCUGCUCUGUUUCUAACCAGGACCUGUUCACCACUCCUUAGGCAACCUGGUGGUCCCCCACUCCCAGGAGGUCACCAUACUGAUGCAGAACUUAGUGGAUCAGCACAGUGCACUACAGCCCAGAACUCCUGGGCUCAAGCGAUCCUCCUGCCUAAACCUCCAGAGUAGCUGAGACUACAGGUGCACACAUUAAGGAAUAAGACAGUAAAACUAAAUAAGCAAAAAAUAAAACAAAUAUAUGUAUUUGUUUUAGUUUUUUAUUUGGUUGGGGGAAAAGAGAAGAGGAUGGGAAAAGAGGGGAAGAGGUGAGAGGUAUCAUAAUUAGCAAAUAUAUGAGUAAUGGUUCCCCAUUUUUCAUAGCAUUGUGUAUAUCAGCAGUAGUGAGGCAGUGAAUUCCAGAAUACAGGGGUCUCAUGAAGUGUCUGAGGGCCUCAAAAUAAAGCACACUCAUCUGCAAAGUGCUGUUUAUCCCCUGACCUGGUGCAGUCAAGUCUGGUGCUAGAGGACAUGCCAUGAAAAUUUCCUUCUCAGAGACCCUUUCAAGAUCUGUUUCAUUUAAACCAUAUCUCAAGAUAGACAUAUUAAAAAGAAGGAAAAUGCUGUUUGUUAUUAAAUCAGGAAAGCAUUUUAAAAGAAUUUGGAAUCUAACAUGUGUAGCCUCAAAUCCUUGAAGCCUCACAUGAUAUGAAAAAAAAUUAUCUUGGUUCAAAACAAUUGUUGGAGUAAUUCAACAUUCUUAAAACUAUCUUCUCCAGAAAAAUCUUUUAAGUUAGAAAUGUGAAAAUGAAUAGUUUUUCAGACCAGGCUGGAGAAUUUUCCAUGAAUAUAUAUUAAAAUCACUAUAUUUGAUUAAUAAACAUCCGUGUGAGCCCAAGAUUAAAGCAACAUGCUGAGCUUAUAUAAUAUUUACUCAUGCUCUUGUGGUAUCUCCUAAAGCCCAGAAGACCCAGAACUGGGGCUGUCACUGCCUUAAAUAGAAUUAUCAUAGCUUAAUUUCCCCCUUAUCUCAGAUUGUACUGCACCACCUUAUCAUAUGCAUUUAAUUCUCUCCAUAUUCACUGUGCAAUAGAGAAUUCAAAUUAAAAUCACCAAGGUAGCAAAAGUGAUAUACAUCACAUUGGACACUGAUAAGACAUUUUUAUUUAACACAGAAAAUUGCUGGUGUAAAUGAUAUUACAAUAAAUAUACUUCAAUUUAAAAUGCAAGUCACUGAGAGGAAAAACUGGGAGCCAUAAAAUACCUUUCCUCUCCUCAAGGUUGUCCAAAGUUGGUGAGGAUGGGGGGGGUGGUGGUGUUAAGAAAAGGACAAGGCUUUGGACUGGGUUGUUAUCUUUACGAUGCAAUUUAAUCUGGGAUGCCACAAGCACGUGGGGCAGGAUCGUUAGGAAAUAACAUCAUAAAGAAUCAAGAAAGGUCUAAAAGAAAACAGGAGAAACUGUCUUGAGGCUUUCUUUCUUCCAUGCAUAGUUAUAAGAGUAUUAUGUUAACCUGUCUGGUCAUGGCCACAGGAAUAGGAGAUGCUUUAACGAAGUGUUGAGUUGGGGCCCACUCAGGAUGCAAGAAAAGAGACCAAACAUAUAUUGCAUGGGCUAGACAGUUUAUGUAGAUCAUCAUAUUUAAUCCUUAAAAUAAAUAACCCUGUAUGAUGAGGAUAUAUUAUUCCUAAUUCACAAUUGAGGAAACACAAGCUAGAGAGAUGGGGUAAAUUGUUCAAGGUCAUACAGCAAGUGAGUUUGACACCAAAAUUUGACUCCAAACCUAGUGAUCUCUUUCUGUGACACCAUGGUCACAAGGAGGGGAGCAUGCGCCCUCUGAAGUUCACCAAAAUUCUGCAGUUCUUUCUUUUGUGGGUUGUGGCAUCUAAGGGAAAGCAGAGAUAGAGAAGAGAAUCCCAAGACCCAGGAGCAACCAAGUGAGAGCUAAGCUUAGCUGGGCAGUGAGCCAGGGCUGGGUGGGGGGCUUUGUGUUGGCAGGCUGCCAGGCAUGGCCUCCUGUAUCCUGCCCGUGACAGGACAGAGAUUUGGCUGACAGCACAUCUGUGCCCAUUUCUGCUCCACAAAUCAAGAGAACUAGUACUCUUCUUUCUGG